This 22-nucleotide non-coding RNA is filed under the name Arabidopsis thaliana (thale cress). Lineage: Eukaryota; Viridiplantae; Streptophyta; Magnoliopsida; Brassicales; Brassicaceae. The record is from RNAcentral.
CUUCGAGUGCUUCGCGUCUCUU